RNAcentral lists this long non-coding RNA (5923 nucleotides) under Elaeis guineensis (African oil palm). RNAcentral's name for it is "long non-coding RNA (EGUI_LNC003289)". Lineage: Eukaryota; Viridiplantae; Streptophyta; Magnoliopsida; Arecales; Arecaceae. The record is from RNAcentral.
AGAGUGUUCUGGCAAUCAUCCUUGAUGAUGGCUCGGAGACAAAGUUGUAUCCCCUGACAAAGAGAAUAUCAAAAGGGGCCAUUCCAAUAGCAGCAAACUACAGGCUGAUUGACAUUGUGGUGAGCAACUGCAUCAACAGUAACAUUAUCAGGAUAUAUGCUCUAACUCAGUUCAACUCCACCUCCCUAAAUUCUCAUCUGUCAAGAGCCUAUUCUAACAUUGGGCUCGGAAAGGAUGGUUUUGUAGAAAUUUUGACAGCAUACCAAAGCCCUGAAGAGCAAGGUUGGUUUAAGGUCUGUACCAUCAUCAGGCUCAAUACUUCUCUUUUUCCCCUUCUAUUUUAAAGCAGUAAGAUUGACUUAUUCCCCUAAAAAUCUGUAAAAUUUUAUCUGGCACUUGUGAUUUUGCAUGUCAAUAGUUGUAAUUUGCUAAUAAGAACCAUAAUUGUAAAUAUCAUCUCUCAAGACCUACAUGAUUCAAUAAAGUUGCACCAUCUUACAAUUUUUAUCAUUUUCGAGAUCCCUGUAUCAUGAUUUCUUACAAUUUCCAAGAACUCAAUCUGCUGCAAUACCAGCUGCUGCUAUUCAAGCUACUGAGGUACUAGGAUUUCAAAAAUCUUUGAUUCAAACUGAUGCAUCAAAUCAUCGUUCCUUUUCAUAACACGGAAUAUCUUGUUGAAAUUUGUACUUCCAUUUCAAAUCUCUCUAUUUUCACAAAGCACUUCAGAAUGUCUUUGCCAAAUUUUGAGCACUAGCAGCGUGAUUCUUAUACAGCAGUUUAGGCACAAUUUUCAUAUCUAAUUCAUGAAAAGUUUACAAUUUGUACCAAGGAAUAGCAAGAUACCAACAUCCCUUUUAUGUUUCAAUAUCUGUAUAGUAAUAUUCUUGAACAAGACCAUGUCCCUAUGUCUUUGCCGAGACAAUUUUUUAAAAUAACUCUUGGACAGCUCCUUUUAAUCUCAGCUUGCAUCUAAAAGUGCUUAGGAAAUAAUAAUAACAUCUAGAGUUGAAUUGUUUUUUGCAGUGUAGUAGUUACACCCAUACUCAAUGGAAAAAGAAGUUUUUAUUAUCAUUUUUCAUAUACUUCUAUGACUUUUCUAUGUUCUUAAAAAUUACUGAAAUGGAUGUAUGGCGUUUUAGGGAAAUGCAGAUGCUGUUAGGAGAUGGUUGUGGGUAAUAAAAGAUCAUCCAGUGGAGGAGUUUCUGGUUCUUUCCAGUCACCAUAUUUAUGAAAUGGACUAUGCAAAACUUAUUAAAGGACAUAGAGAUAGCGGAGCAGAUAUCACAGUUGCUGUUUCAUGUAACAGAAGGAACAAUAAUCCCAGUUAUGAUUUCUUAAUACAGAAUCACAGAAAUAAAUUUUCUGAAGUCAAACAUGCACCAGAUAGGGAUCGAGAUAAUUAUGCAGCAGUAAGUUUUCCAUUCUUACUUUCAUAAAAAGAGGCAAACUUAAGAUCACUCUAGUUAUAAUUUACGGACAAGAAGUACAAUGAAUCCUUUUUUUGUUAUCCACAUCCUAUUAAAAAGAAAUAAUUCUUCAGCUUUAGAACUGCAUGCAUGGAGCUAGAUUGGAACCAUUCUGAAUUUUUCUUUAAUAACAAGUAGACAAAGCUGACAGUCUAGUUCCUACAAGUUACAUCAUUUGGAUCAUUAUGCAUGGAAUUCAGAUAGGAAAUUCUACAAAAGAAGAAGUUUGUGGUGGCAGAAGCAUGGGAAUCUAUGUCAUCAAGAGAGACAUCAUGAUCAAACUCUUAGAAAAGCUCCUACCUAAGGCCAAUGAUUUCAGAAGUGAAGUUAUACAACGUGCAAUUUCCAUGGGAAUGAAGGUCAGAAUAUUAUUUGUUUAUCUGCAGCUGAAUUUCCUAUCCAGAUUUCUCUCCCUCUUUACUUUUAUAGGAAAACAUUCCAAUUUUUUUAUUAUUCAUGUGGUCCUAUAGCAUUAUUCUUUUUUUGUUUUUCCCUUUUAUUGACUAUGUCAAGAGGGCCAGUAGUACCAUUAUUCUAAGUUUCUCUUGUAUCAGGUUCAUGCUUAUAUGUUUGAUGGACAAUGGGAAGACGUUGAAACCAUUGAAGCCUUCUACCGUGCCAACAUUGAAAGUGCAAGGAGAACAUCUCAUGGCUUCAAGUCAGUACACAACUUAGAUGAAUGAACAGCAUCAUUCAGUAACAAAUUUAGGUCUACAUUCAAUGACAAAUUUAGAUAUCUCUCUCUCUACCAAAUAACACCUACGCCUUUGCUGUAGUUUCCAUGACAGAAACUCUCCUAUCUACACCAUGCCACAUUGCCUACCACCUACUGUACUUACCAAUGCUCUCAUAAGGGAGAGCAUUAUUGGUGAUGGUUGCAUUCUACAUGUAGGUAACUUGAUACUAUCAUCAUUUAAAAUUUUGAACCAACAUGACAUGCGUUUACGGAUAUUAUAUACAUAGAAUGCACUUAAUUCAUUUUCUGAUUUAUUUUAUGUCCCAUGUAAAAAGAAAGAAGAAGAUAAAAUAACUGGUAUGAUUACAUAAAUGACAUACUCAAAUUUGAAAUAUAUAACAUUGUGCUACAUGCAAUUGACAUGUUCUCCAGUAAGCAUGCAUAGAUGUAUGUCAUUGAAGACAUAUAAUUUAACAGAGGGUUGACAUAAUGCAUGUCCCUUAGGUAAGAGAUGGUCUUCUAUAUACAUUGGUAUGUAAAUCCAUCAAUCAUAGACCAAAAUAUCAUCUGCACAAUACCUACAAAUAUGUUACCAAAGCUAAAGGUGAAGUUAAUUGAAGAUAAUACCCCAAAAGUAAACCUGAUUUGUCUCAUAAUCUGCGUGACAUGGUGGGGGAAUUAGAUAAAGAAAGAAAAGAAGCUUUUUGUCUUGUGGCCGCUUUAACUUUAGAGGCCUACAAAAGAAGCAGAUUUUACUCGUAACAAAUAAUAAUCUAGCUUGUUCUGCCUGAUGAGUUACAAAAGUCAGAUUGAUGGAUGUCUGAAAAUGGGUUAGCUUUUGCGAAAUUUGAACCACUUUCUUUAACUAGAAUGAGAAAAUUUGGCAAGGAAAGAAGAAAGAACAUUUUUACAAAAAAAUAAAUUGGAACAAAGACUGGAUAUGUUUUUCUUUCUUUUUUCUGAAAUAGUUAUUAGAGGACCUAAAGAGCAUCAAGAAACACAGGAGAGCUAAGAUAAUGAAUAGAAUUUUAGUCUACAGUAAAAACGAUUUUGCAAUGAAAUCUGUAUGCCUGGCCUUGACACUAGAAAGAAAAAAGACUGCAGAGGAGAUGGAGGCAGCUGAGCUGGUUGGCUGACCAAGCAUCCAGGUAUAAAGUGGUCAAGGGGGGUGAAGUUACUUGAUGACAGUCAGGUAGCACGAUAUGAUCUUUCUAUCCUAGUUCUGCACUGCUUAAAUAGCAAUACACAAUGCAGGUAUUUUAUCGUGAUGCAAAAUCCUAGCAGUAUGAUUUUAUUAAAUGAAAUUGUCAUAAUGCUAAAAAGUUUCAGACCUCUGCUUGAGUUUAAGUAGCCAUCCACAUCAUGGAUAAUUGGUACAUAUUCAUGCAUUGUCUAAGCAAUCUGAUAUUUUUAAAAUAAAUUACAAUCAUGCUCUGUCUUUAUAAAUUUUCCAUUACAUCAUCUAUGAUAAUUGAAUGUUGACUAAGUACCAUAAUUUCAUAUUCAUCCAUCUAUUCGAUGCUAAGUAGGCUCUGUUUCUAUUCUUUAUAUUAAGAGUAGAGGUGCGAGAUCACUGAUUCCGUGAUUGGUAUGCGAACAUAUAUCGGAGAAGAAGCAGUGAUUGAGGAUUCUGUGAUCAUGGGUAGUGAUUAUUACCAAGUAUGAAGCAUUCACAAAUCAUUUCUUAUUUCUUUUUUAUUUCUUGUGAUGUAUACAAGAAACAUGAUUGCUUUGGUCCAGCACAUGACCACUCUUGAAACUAUAUUCCAUGAGUUGUAUUUGCAUUUAUCCAUUAUCUAUGCUGAUGCCCAACAUAUAUUGUGUCAUAUUGAUUACACCUGGGAUGCUUCAAAUAGGGCUUUUAUACCAUGCACUUUUAAAGCUCCACCUAGUGUGGAAUGGUUUUGCAGUUUUUAUCAAUACACACCUAUAGUUUGGUAACUUUACCAGUUAAUCAUGUCCUUCAGCUUAUAUAGACAAAUGUGAAAUGUAGAGAAUUGUUGUCUGAUAUUAAUGAUGUUUACUAGACUUCAACCAUCUUCACAUGCUCUUGCUUUCUCUUUCUAAGUUUUCCUUUUGUCAUCAAAUAGACAGAGGUGCAACAGAACUGGACAAAAUUGCAAGGCUUCAAUGUCCCAGUUGGGAUUGGAGAACAGACUCAUAUUCGAAAGGCUAUAGUUGAUAAGAAUGCAAGGAUAGGAAGAAAUGUCAGGGUACUGAAAUAUUUGAAAAAUUAUACAAUGCAUAUUAUUCAAGUUCUUAGUAUUCUCCAUGUUGCACUAAUCAAUUUGAUCAUAUUCACAUUAUUUCUUGUAACUUCCAGGUGAAGCUUGUUGCAGUUAACAUUGACAUAGACCAAAGUUUAGUGGCAACAUUUUUAACUCAUCUGUUGUACUUAAUAGAAAUUAUCUUACUCGUUGUCUUAACUUCAUAAUUAUUACAAAAUGGUGUUCUCACUUUAUGGAUGAACAAACAUUAUCUGAAAAUUAAAAAAAAAAAGUAGAAUUUUAGAAGGUAGCAAAUACAUAGUUACAGUUCGAUCGAUAGCAUAUUAAAACUAGACUGUUCACACAAAAAAUGCCAAAAUAAAUGCAUGGACAUAUUUAAUUGACAAUAGAAGCACAAAACUCAGAGCUAGUCACGAGAAAAUGGCAAAAGUUACAUAAAUGGUUGCUAUAAAUGGCAAUACAUCUCAUUGUGUCUCUCUGAUUUAUUGGUUUUUUUUUUUUUUUGAUGAUUGCAGAUUGUUAACACAGAUGGGGUCCAAGAAUGUAACAGAGAGGAGCAUGGAUACAUCAUUUCUGGGGGCAUAGUUGUUGUUUUGAGUAAUGCAGUAAUUCCAGAUGGCAGCAUCCUCUAACUGAGCCAUGAUGCAGGGUCGGAUUCUGUAUUUAUUUCAUUUAUUACAAGGAAGAAUAAAAAACAUGAUUUGAAGAUGAUGUGAACAAGAGAUUUAUAUACAGCAUUACAAUUUUCAUCCAUGUUUCUUUUUUUUUCAUCUACUUUUCCUUUUCUCUUUUUAAAGAAUAGGCACAAGCACCAGAUCAACUCUUACAAGGACACGCAUCUUGCAGCUAGCCCCAUCGCCAUCCCUUGCAUCCAAUGGAGUGUUACCAUGCCCAUAGUCCCCUAAAAAUAUUUCCAACUAAAUCAAACUACUUGGAUCAUGAAUGAGUUGAUGCCAUAAAUACAAUUACUGUUCAUGCCAAAUUAAUCCCUGCUCUCGGCAUUACAAAACUCCAAUCACAACCAACCCUAAAGCCCUCUCUCUGUCUGUCACCUGACCAGCAACUGCCCUCUUAUUUCAACACCAUUAAAUGACAAUAAUAAUAAUAAUUAUAAUCGAAGAAGAAUCAACUACAGAAGGCCCCGAGAUAAAAGAACAGAUCAAACGGUAAUGCAAACAAAAAAAAAAACUACUAAAAAAAUCAAAUCGGCGAUUUUAAGUACUAAAACGAGAAGAAAGCAAAACAUACCCUUACCAAUGCCGCCCGAUUUCCGAUCUCCGAUCUAUAUUUUCCUGAAAAAUUGGGAAGAAGAAGGGGAAAAAAGAAUUUUCCAGAGGAAAGGAAUGAAUCAAAAGAGGGAAAUAUGUACAGAAACCAAUCGAAGAUCGUACCGAGCUCCAAAUGAGAAGUGGACGAGGCCUCGAGAGAUCUCUCGCGAGCUCUCUUCUGGCGAACACAAGAAAAAUAGGAAAGGAUCGAGGAAAAAUAGAAGGGAGCAGUGGAUACGACUGACGACGGGCAACCAAAGGAGGGUUGAAUUUUGAAUUACUUGC